Molecule: ribosomal RNA, 119 nt
Filed under: Petromyzon marinus (sea lamprey)
Lineage: Eukaryota; Metazoa; Chordata; Hyperoartia; Petromyzontiformes; Petromyzontidae
Source: RNAcentral
GCCUACGAACGCAUCACCCUGAAUGUGCCUGAUCUCGUCACAUCUUGAAAGCUACUCAGGCUUGAGCCUGGCCCAUACUUCGACAGGAGACUGCCUGGGAAUACCAGGUGUUCAAGGCC